CCUCAGAUCUCAUCUCACUCA
Molecule: non-coding RNA, 21 nt
Filed under: Arabidopsis thaliana (thale cress)
Lineage: Eukaryota; Viridiplantae; Streptophyta; Magnoliopsida; Brassicales; Brassicaceae
Source: RNAcentral